RNAcentral lists this ribosomal RNA (546 nucleotides) under uncultured bacterium. RNAcentral's name for it is "bacterial SSU rRNA". It matches the Rfam family "Bacterial small subunit ribosomal RNA", at positions 923 to 1482 of the family's 1533-position model. The record is from RNAcentral.
GCACAAGCAGCGGAGCGUGUGGUUUAAUUCGAGGCUACACGAAGAACCUUACCUGGGCUUGACAUGGCGGUGGUAGGGAACCGAAAGGGGACCGACCUUCGGGAGCCGUCACAGGUGCUGCAUGGCUGUCGUCAGCUCGUGUCGUGAGAUGUUCGGUUAAGUCCGGUAACGAGCGCAACCCUUGUCGUCAGUUACAAGUGUCUGGCGAGACUGCCCGUGCAAAGCGGGAGGAAGGUGGGGAUGACGUCAAGUCAGCAUGGCCUUUAUGUCCAGGGCUACACACACGCUACAAUGGCCGGUACAAUGGGUCGCCAACCCGCGAGGGGGAGCCAAUCCAGAGAAAGCCGGUCUCAGUUCGGAUUACAGGCUGCAACCCGCCUGUAUGAAGUCGGAGUUGCUAGUAACCGCAGGUCAGCUAUACUGCGGUGAAUACGUUCCCGGGCCUUGUACACACCGCCCGUCACGUCAUGGGAGCUGGUCACGCCUAAAGUCGGUGGGCUAACCGUAAGGAGGCAGCCGCCUAGGGCAGGGCUGGUGACUGGGACG